CUUUUUUCUUCCAGUCAAUUUUUUCUUUGAUCUACAGAACUUGCUUCUUUUCUCUGAAGUUUUCACAAUACAGCAUGAUAGAAGGAGCACAGAGUGCCAGAGGCAGGGAAUUCCUAUGCUUCACUAGUGACUCAUAAGAAAACUUAAUAGAAGGUCUCUACUGCCUGCUGGCCCUGCAGUACCUGAUUGAUGUGGUCCCAAACUAAAGUAGGCUAACCUUCAUUGAACCAAGCACUUCAGAGCCAUGGGAAGAAGUAUGGGGGAAGGAGUCCUUGUACUCUGGCAAUGAGGAAAACAAACAUUAACAGUGCAAGACACAGUGAGAGUCACAGAUCCAUGGAUGGACGAUCCUUUUGAGGACAAUAGAGGGGGAAUUUGGAUAAGUUUCCUGAGUGAGAAACCUUCCAGAUGGCAAUCUGAAAGUUAGCUGUUCCUUCUCAAAACACAGAGCUUUCUCAAGAGAAAGAUAACACCCUCUUUCAUCAGAGCGAGCGAGCUUUCUUCAUGGUGGCAAUUUCCAGUCUCCAGUGCAAGGAGGGGAAACUGAAGGAGAAUAAGGCGGUUACAUUCAGUUAGAGCCUGAGAGCAGAAUUUGGUUAGGCUGAAGCAGCUGGAAACUGUGGAAUGUAAUACCAGAGAGGAGACUGCCACACAAAGAACUCUAAAAAUUUUGAUUUUCAGCAAACCUUCAGAAGGCAAAAGGGAAAGUUUUCCCAUGGGCCAACGUGGAUAUGUUUCUGUAAUAGUCUGCUCAGCCUUCUACAACAAGAUGUCGCAGACUGGGUGACUUAAACCAGGGAUCCUCAAACCCUGGCAAUGGAUCGGUACGGGUCAGUGGCCUGUUAGGAAUCAGGCCACGUAGCAGGAGUCCAUAUUUGGAAUAACAACAAUAUAACACUCCUUUGGUAGUUAUAUUUUCUCACCUUCUUUACAGAAGAAGAAAUCCUUACUUAGAAAGGAAAAGAAUACCUCGAAAUUUGUCACUUUGGACUUCAAACAGAGCAGCUGAAGAGCAGCAAAGGCAGGGAAAGGGCUUUCUCUGAUCUACCCUUAACCGACUAAGCUCAUUCUAGGGGAAACCAGCUGCCAUAUUAAGAAAACAGUCCUAUGGAAAGGGCCAUGGAACAAAGAAGUGACUUCUGCCAACAACCUCAUGAGUGAACCUAGAAGUGGCUCAUCUAGUCCUGGUCAAAUCUUAUGGACUGUGGCUCCAACUGAUAGUGUGACUGUAACUUCAUAAGAGACGCUGAACCAGACCACCCAAUAAGACACUCCCAGAUUCCCUACUCUCAAAAGUUGUGUGAAAUAAUCACCCCCAGUUGUAUUAAACUGCUAAGUUUUGGGGUAGUGUGUUACACAGCAAUAAAUCAUAAAUACAACAUCCAAG
RNAcentral lists this long non-coding RNA (1387 nucleotides) under Homo sapiens (human). RNAcentral describes it as "HSALNT0147666". The record is from RNAcentral. Lineage: Eukaryota; Metazoa; Chordata; Mammalia; Primates; Hominidae.